This 1338-nucleotide long non-coding RNA is filed under the name Vombatus ursinus (common wombat). RNAcentral describes it as "lncRNA (ENSVURG00010008777.1)". The record is from RNAcentral. Lineage: Eukaryota; Metazoa; Chordata; Mammalia; Diprotodontia; Vombatidae.
CAUGAUCAUUAAAAUGUGUUGCCAAGGAGCAGUGACCAAGCAACGAACAAAAUAAAGCAUUCUUUCUUGCUUUGCUUUUACAGUGAAAAUGAGGGAUUUAUUUUGGAUACUGACCAAGUCUCACUGAGUCAGGAGUCCUUCUACCCUAGUGCCAGCCCAUACCACAAAGAGAACUGGACAAAAGUAGAGAUUUCUGAGCAGACGCACCAUCUUAACUUACAAGAGUAUGCGGGAGAAACAGUUGUCCAAAGGGAAAUAGAAAAGAAGAGACAACUUUCCAGGAGCCAUCCCAUCACCAAUGAUUACCUGGUUAACGUUGGCAGCAUUCCAGAAGAAAAUAAAGGUAAAUACCAACGUCUUUUCCUCCAUUUUAAAGUGAACAGUAAUAAGAAAGCGUGGGUGAUAUUGAAUACAAAUUCAAAAAUGGAGAAAAAGUAUUGAUAGGUUGCCAUCUGCAAAGAGUAGCUUCAUCAAUGAGAUUAUAGUCAUCAAUAUUUUAAAUAACAUUUCCAACUGAAUCUGCUCUGGGGAAUUAUAGACUCUGUCUAAUAAGUUUCUUAAGAAUGUGAGCAUCUGGAGUAUUGUGUGCCCCCAAAGGGCAAUGCAGCAUUCACAGCUUGUACAACACGAGAGCCUGUAUUUCUUUGCCCUUCUCCAUUGAGUAGAGUUGGCCUGAGCCAUACGUAGGUACUUUGCCUAGUAGCCCUGGCCUCCUGAGAAUUGCUCCAGUCCCUCCACUUGUAUGGCACUGCUCUCUCUUCUCCUCCAACCUGUCUGAUCACUUCCUUUCAGUUUCCUUUGCUGGAUCAUCAUCCAUGUCCCACCUCCACAUUGUAGGUGUCCUGCUAAAGCUCUGACACUGUCAGUUCCCAUGGACUCAGUUAUCAGCUCUAUUUAGAUGACUCCUAAAUCUGUAUCUCUAGACCUCCUCUCUCUCCUAAGUUGCAGUCCCACUUUAUCAACUACCUUCUGGAUCUCUCCACUUGGACAUCCAAUGGUCAUCUCAAACUCAACAUGUUCAAAACAGAACUCAUCUUCCUCCCCCCACUUCACCUAAAUCUUUCUCUCCUCCAAACUUCCCAUUUUUGUUGAUCCUUUUAAUCACCUGAUUCACAACCUCUGAGUUAUCUUCUAUGCUUCAUUCUCCCUCAUCCAACCCCAUAUCCAAUUGGCGCCAAUUGGUGUCAAUUACACUUGCACAUCUCUCACAUUCAUGCCCUUCUCUCCACUCAGAUAGCCAUCAUUCUAGCUCAGCUUUUCAACAACUUUUCCCUGGACUACUAGGAGCCUCCUAACUAGACUCCUGGUUUCCAGUCUCUCCCUUUUUCAAUCCAUCCU